CACGUAGGGGACGAGCGUUGUCCGGAUUCAUUGGGCGUAAAGCGCGCGUAGGCGGCUCGGAAAGUCGGUCGUGAAAUGCCGGGCUCAACCCCGGGACUGCGUCCGAUACUUCCGGGCUGGAGGUAGGUAGGGGAGAUCGGAAUUCCUGGUGUAGCGGUGAAAUGCGCAGAUAUCAGGAGGAACACCGGUGGCGAAGGCGGAUCUCUGGGCCUUACCUGACGCUGAGGCGCGAAAGCUAGGGGAGCGAACGGG
Molecule: ribosomal RNA, 252 nt
Filed under: uncultured bacterium
Lineage: Bacteria
Description: partial 16S ribosomal RNA
Rfam family: Bacterial small subunit ribosomal RNA
Source: RNAcentral